GCGCACCAGGCGAGAAUUUUUCACAAUGGGGGAAACCCUGAUGGAGCGACGCCGCGUGGAGGAUGAAGGCCUUUUGGUCGUAAACUCCUGUCAAACGGGAACAAGAAAGUGAUAGUACCGUUAGAGGAAGAGACGGCUAACUCUGUGCCAGCAGCCGCGGUAAUACAGAGGUCUCAAGCGUUGUUCGGAUUCAUUGGGCGUAAAGGGUGCGUAGGUGGCAUGGUAAGUUGAAGGUGAAAUCUCGGAGCUUAACUCCGAAACUGCCUUCAAUACUGCUGUGCUUGAGGACUGUAGAGGAGAAUGGAAUUCAUGGUGUAGCAGUGAAAUGCGUAGAUAUCAUGAGGAAGACCAGUGGCGAAGGCGAUUCUCUGGGCAGUUCCUGACACUGAGGCACGAAGGCUAGGGGAGCAAACGGGAUUAGAUACCCCGGUAGU
This 434-nucleotide ribosomal RNA is filed under the name uncultured organism. RNAcentral describes it as "bacterial SSU rRNA". It matches the Rfam family "Bacterial small subunit ribosomal RNA", at positions 346 to 794 of the family's 1533-position model. The record is from RNAcentral.